UGGGGAAUAUUGCACAAUGGGCGCAAGCCUGAUGCAGCCAUGCCGCGUGUAUGAAGAAGGCCUUCGGGUUGUAAAGUACUUUCAGCGGGGAGGAAGGCGAUAAGGUUAAUAACCUUGUCGAUUGACGUUACCCGCAGAAGAAGCACCGGCUAACUCCGUGCCAGCAGCCGCGGUAAUACGGAGGGUGCAAGCGUUAAUCGGAAUUACUGGGCGUAAAGCGCACGCAGGCGGUCUGUCAAGUCGGAUGUGAAAUCCCCGGGCUCAACCUGGGAACUGCAUUCGAAACUGGCAGGCUAGAGUCUUGUAGAGGGGGGUAGAAUUCCAGGUGUAGCGGUGAAAUGCGUAGAGAUCUGGAGGAAUACCGGUGGCGAAGGCGGCCCCCUGGACAAAGACUGACGUUCAGGUGCGAAAGCGUGGGGAGCAAACA
Molecule: ribosomal RNA, 427 nt
Filed under: uncultured bacterium
Lineage: Bacteria
Description: partial 16S ribosomal RNA
Rfam family: Bacterial small subunit ribosomal RNA
Source: RNAcentral